RNAcentral lists this ribosomal RNA (250 nucleotides) under uncultured prokaryote. RNAcentral describes it as "partial 16S ribosomal RNA". It matches the Rfam family "Bacterial small subunit ribosomal RNA", at positions 524 to 773 of the family's 1533-position model. The record is from RNAcentral.
UACGGAAGGUCCGGGCGUUAUCCGGAUUUAUUGGGUUUAAAGGGAGCGUAGGCGGGAUGCUAAGCGUGCUGUGAAAUCCUGUGGCUCAACCAUGGGCGUGCAGCGCGAACUGGCUUUCUUGAGUGCUCGGGAGGCAGGCGGAAUUCGUGGUGUAGCGGUGAAAUGCUUAGAUAUCACGAGGAACCCCGAUUGCGAAGGCAGCCUGCCGUAGCGUUACUGACGCUGAAGCUCGAAGGUGCGGGUAUCGAAC